This is a non-coding RNA of Pelobates cultripes (western spadefoot toad), 226 nucleotides long. Lineage: Eukaryota; Metazoa; Chordata; Amphibia; Anura; Pelobatidae. The record is from the annotation of a GenBank genome assembly.
CUCCAGCUGAGGAAACUCACAGAGGAAGCUCAGUUUUCAUGGCCCACACAGAGGUCCCUUGAUGGGCCUAAUGUGCUCAGUGCUGCAGUGAGGCCAGAGAUUUUCUGGUAUGCUCUUUUGCCAGAUGCAGACCCUUUGCUGUGCCCCUGGAAGCUCUGGCAUUCAGAGUGUUGCUGAGGCUUUUUAAAUUGCAAAGCAAUUGGAACAUUAAAUGCAAAAGGUUGGG